UACGUAGGGUGCGAGCGUUGUCCGGAAUUAUUGGGCGUAAAGCGUCCGCAGGUGGCACUUCAAGUCUGUCGUCAAAGACCGGGGCUUAACCCUGGAAAGGCGAUGGAAACUGAAAGGCUAGAGAGAGGUAGGGGUAGAGGGAAUUCCCAGUGUAGCGGUGAAAUGCGUAGAGAUUGGGAAGAACAUCGGUGGCGAAAGCGCUCUACUGGACCUCAUCUGACACUCAGGGACGAAAGCUAGGGGAGCGAAUGGG
Molecule: ribosomal RNA, 253 nt
Filed under: uncultured bacterium
Lineage: Bacteria
Description: partial 16S ribosomal RNA
Rfam family: Bacterial small subunit ribosomal RNA
Source: RNAcentral